This 875-nucleotide long non-coding RNA is filed under the name Numida meleagris (helmeted guineafowl). Its description in RNAcentral is "lncRNA (ENSNMEG00000021065.1)". Lineage: Eukaryota; Metazoa; Chordata; Aves; Galliformes; Numididae. The record is from RNAcentral.
UGAGAUGAGCAUUGUCUAACGCACAGGUAGCCUUGCAGAAGUGAAUUCAAAAUCAUGUUCCCCUCUUGAAUAUUAGAUUCUGUUUUUCCUAAUAAGGCACUUGCCUAUGAUCUUCAGCCCCUCCUCUUUUGACAUUUCUAAGCCAGUUUCCUGAUGUUUAGCUUUCAGUAAAGAGGCCAUUAUUCCUGCAAUCUAUCAUUAUGAGGAGUGCUGCCUACUUCACAGAAGCUCUUGCUGCCUAACUGGAAUCACUCGAUGAUUUGGAUCAUUAAUAUAUUGCAAAAUGACAAUAAGAACUGAAGUGAGGGGGCAGGCAGACAUAGAGUGCUGAUGAAGAUGUAUCUGCUCUGCUGUCAAAAUUCCACUUACAAAUAUAGGAGCAACCAUUGGAUUUCUCUUAGCUAGAAGAGGACAGACUGCCAUUUUAAACUCAGUUACGCCAAAGAUCUAACAACUUAGUCCAAAAUAUGAAGCUUCUGAAAUGUAGAGGGUGUGACAGUGGAAGAUCUCUGAUCCAUCAUUGAAUUAUUUGAUCAACUUCAAUCAAGAGAAGCAAGCAAGAUUCACAAGAUGUUCCUUAGUAGGUUUGGCUGAGCGUCUGAAAAUACCUCUCCGUGCCACUAGAAGCGAUGGAGCACAGCUGCUCGCUUUUCACCUCCAAAACCUGUGGGUUUUGUUUGCAGCCCUACAUCAUAAGUACUUACAUUGGAGAACAUAACUGAAGAUGAGAGAUGAAUUUUGUAUAAAGGUAAAUAAGUAAAUAGACGAAAUAUUUAAAAACUUGCUACUUUAUUUUGUUGCGCAUGUACCUGUUUCAUUAUCCAUCGCAGCCAACUGGAACCUAUCCAUUGGCUUUAUCAGAUAUUGUGCUGAUU